RNAcentral lists this transfer RNA (92 nucleotides) under Fidelibacterota bacterium. RNAcentral's name for it is "tRNA-Sec". It matches the Rfam family "Selenocysteine transfer RNA". Lineage: Bacteria; Pseudomonadati; Fidelibacterota. The record is from RNAcentral. RNAcentral also lists the same sequence under 1 other name.
GGGAAUGAUUGCAAGGCUGGUGCCGGCCGCGGUCUUCAAAACCGUUGUCCCUGUGCGAACGGGGAGCUGGGUUCGAUUCCCAGGCGUUCCCG